UACCUACGGGAGGCAGCAGUGAGGAAUAUUGGUCAAUGGUCGGGAGACUGAACCAGCCAAGCCGCGUGAGGGAGGAAGGUACAGAGUAUCGUAAACCUCUUUUGUCAGGGAACAAAGACUGGGACGCGUCCCCGGAUGAGUGUACCUGAAGAAAAAGCAUCGGCUAACUCCGUGCCAGCAGCCGCGGUAAUACGUAGGGAGCAAGCGUUAUCCGGAAUUAUUGGGUGUAAAGGGUGCGUAGACGGGACAGCAAGUUAGUUGUGAAAGCCCUCGGCUUAACUGAGGAACUGCAACUAAAACUAUUG
Molecule: ribosomal RNA, 305 nt
Filed under: uncultured bacterium
Lineage: Bacteria
Description: bacterial SSU rRNA
Rfam family: Bacterial small subunit ribosomal RNA
Source: RNAcentral